GACCUCGUAGUUCAGCUGGUAAAGCGUGCACCGUACAAAAGCAUAGGCUGCUUCCGUGCGUGGGUUCGAAUCCCACCGAGAUUA
Molecule: transfer RNA, 84 nt
Filed under: Echinostoma caproni
Lineage: Eukaryota; Metazoa; Platyhelminthes; Trematoda; Plagiorchiida; Echinostomatidae
Rfam family: tRNA
About the family: Transfer RNA (tRNA) molecules are approximately 80 nucleotides in length. Their secondary structure includes four short double-helical elements and three loops (D, anti-codon, and T loops). Further hydrogen bonds mediate the characteristic L-shaped molecular structure. tRNAs have two regions of fundamental functional importance: the anti-codon, which is responsible for specific mRNA codon recognition, and the 3' end, to which the tRNAs corresponding amino acid is attached (by aminoacyl-tRNA synthetases). tRNAs cope with the degeneracy of the genetic code in two manners: having more than one tRNA (with a specific anti-codon) for a particular amino acid; and 'wobble' base-pairing, i.e. permitting non-standard base-pairing at the 3rd anti-codon position.
Source: Rfam by way of RNAcentral